Molecule: non-coding RNA, 205 nt
Organism: Oryza barthii
Lineage: Eukaryota; Viridiplantae; Streptophyta; Magnoliopsida; Poales; Poaceae
Source: Rfam
AAAAAGACAAACUCUGAAUUUCCGUGUCUAACUUUAACUGUUUGUCUUAUAUGAAAUUUUUUUAUAAUUCGUAUUUUUAUUAUUGUUAGAUGAUAAAACAUGAUUAAUAUUUUUAUGCGUAACUUGUCUUUUUAUUUUUUUCAUAAUUUUUUCAAAUAAGACGAACGGUCAAACGUUGGGCACGGAAACCAGGGUUAUCUUUUUU